Molecule: microRNA precursor, 86 nt
Organism: Cercocebus atys (sooty mangabey)
Lineage: Eukaryota; Metazoa; Chordata; Mammalia; Primates; Cercopithecidae
Source: Ensembl
UUAGGUUGGUGCAAAAGUAAUUGUGGUUUCUGCCAUUGAAAGUAAUGGCAAAAACUGCAAUAAUUCCGUUUGCACCAACCUAAUAA